GGGCUGGUUCUUCUGGAUUCUGAGUGGAAGCCUGUUCUUCAGGGCUUUCUUGAGGCUUAUGUGAUUUCUUCAGACACAAACACAGCAGCUCAGAACAUUGGUCAGAGAUUCAUGGUCUUCAAGCUAGGAGAAUUCAGAAGGAACUGAGAACCCCAGAGCAGGCUAGAGGGAUCAGCUAGCUUCUGCCAAGACACUCCUUUCCCUUUCAUCUCGGAGCCCCCCCCCCCUUCCCGGAAUUCUGAUUUUGACCCCAGCUCUCCAGAGAAAUGCCUCUUCUUUGGUCCCAUACACUCUCUCUUCCUUCCAGGCAAGACUGCAAGACUGUCUUCCCUGGGUCAUAGAAGCAGUACCCACUCCCAUCCCAUGCCAGGGCCACAGAGGGAGCCCACCAAGGCUACAGAAAGAUUCUGUUAUCCCCUCAGAUCCACAGGGAUACCAAGAACACAACAGGGUCAAAGAAGCAGCUUCCAGUCCCGGAAGGGCCACAGAGGGUAGAUACACCAGAGCACUCUAGUUCUCCCCUCUGGAAGCUUUCCACCUUUCUUGGUUCCCAUGGAGAGACAGCCGCUGCUCCAGGACCUGAACAUGGCACUGCCGGUUAGCAUGUGACUUUUCUUUCUGAUCCUGGGCAAGUGACAACUUUUCAGGGUCACAGUACCCCCAUACUAGAUAGGAGCGUGGAUCCCUCAUUGUAUCUCUUUGCUCACACCCGCUUCCAUAUCUGCAUGAAGUUGGCUAGAAGGUCCUGGGGAUAUCUUACAGCUCCAGAAGCUACACAGACUAUAAUCCAAUUUAUUUCCUCCACUGACACAGAUCUCCAAUUCUGUCAGCCUAAAUAAAUAGUUACAUGUGGUCA
This 856-nucleotide long non-coding RNA is filed under the name Monodelphis domestica (gray short-tailed opossum). RNAcentral describes it as "lncRNA (ENSMODG00000030369.2)". Lineage: Eukaryota; Metazoa; Chordata; Mammalia; Didelphimorphia; Didelphidae. The record is from RNAcentral.